RNAcentral lists this ribosomal RNA (1017 nucleotides) under Sordariomycetes sp. Its description in RNAcentral is "eukaryotic LSU rRNA". The stretch from base 461 to 1017 matches the Rfam family "Eukaryotic large subunit ribosomal RNA", at positions 1 to 571 of the family's 3401-position model. Lineage: Eukaryota; Fungi; Ascomycota; Sordariomycetes. The record is from RNAcentral.
ACCCACUGUGAACCUUACCUAUCGUUGCUUCGGCGGGACCGCCCCGGCGCCGGCUCAGGCCCGGAACCAGGCGCCCGCCGGAGGCCCGAAACUCUUGUCUUUACAGUUUUCUCCUCUGAUUGAAAAACAAAAUAAAUCAAAACUUUCAACAACGGAUCUCUUGGUUCUGGCAUCGAUGAAGAACGCAGCGAAAUGCGAUAAGUAAUGUGAAUUGCAGAAUUCAGUGAAUCAUCGAAUCUUUGAACGCACAUUGCGCCCGCCAGUAUUCUGGCGGGCAUGCCUGUUCGAGCGUCAUUUCAACCCUCAGGCCCCGCCUGGCGUUGGGGAUCGGCGCGGCGCGAGAGCGCUGCCGGCCCCGAAAUACAGUGGCGGUCUCGCUGUAGUCCUCCUCUGCGUAGUAGCAACACCUCGCACUGGAACGCGGCGCGGCCAAGCCGUUAAACACCCCACUUCUGAAAGUUGACCUCGGAUCAGGUAGGAAUACCCGCUGAACUUAAGCAUAUCAAUAAGCGGAGGAAAAGAAACCAACAGGGAUUGCCCCAGUAACGGCGAGUGAAGCGGCAACAGCUCAAAUUUGAAAUCUGGCCCCAGGCCCGAGUUGUAAUUUGCAGAGGAUGCUUUGGGCGCGGUGCCUUCCGAGUUCCCUGGAACGGGACGCCACAGAGGGUGAGAGCCCCGUCUGGUCGGACACCAAGCCUAUGUAAAGCUCCUUCGACGAGUCGAGUAGUUUGGGAAUGCUGCUCAAAAUGGGAGGUAUAUGUCUUCUAAAGCUAAAUACCGGCCAGAGACCGAUAGCGCACAAGUAGAGUGAUCGAAAGAUGAAAAGCACUUUGAAAAGAGAGUUAAACAGCACGUGAAAUUGUUGAAAGGGAAGCGUUCAUGACCAGACUUGGCCCGGUUGAUCAUCCAGCGUUCUCGCUGGUGCACUCUGCCGGUCCAGGCCAGCAUCAGUUCGCCGCGGGGGAUAAAGGUUUCGGGAAUGUGGCUCCUCGGAGUGUUAUAGCCCGUUGCGCAAUA